GCAGCAGUGAGGAAUAUUGGUCAAUGGGCGCUAGCCUGANCCAGCCAAGUAGCGUGAAGGAUGACUGCCCUAUGGGUUGUAAACUUCUUUUAUAUGGGAAUAAAGUGCAGUAUGUAUACUGCUUUGCAUGUACCUUAUGAAUAAGGAUCGGCUAACUCCGUGCCAGCAGCCGCGGUAAUACGGAGGAUCCGAGCGUUAUCCGGAUUUAUUGGGUUUAAAGGGAGCGUAGGCGGGUUGUUAAGUCAGUUGUGAAAGUUUGCGGCUCAACCGUAAAAUUGCAGUUGAUACUGGCAUCCUUGAGUACAGUAGAGGUAGGCGGAAUUCGUGGUGUAGCGGUGAAAUGCUUAGAUAUCACGAAGAACUCCGAUUGCGAAGGCAGCCUGCUGGACUGUAACUGACGCUGAUGCUCGAAAGUGUGGGUAUCAAACAGGAUUAGAUACCCUGGUAGUCCACACAGUAAACGAUGAAUACUCGCUGUUUGCGAUAUACAGUAA
Molecule: ribosomal RNA, 494 nt
Filed under: uncultured bacterium
Lineage: Bacteria
Description: bacterial SSU rRNA
Rfam family: Bacterial small subunit ribosomal RNA
Source: RNAcentral